Molecule: long non-coding RNA, 310 nt
Filed under: Eucalyptus grandis
Lineage: Eukaryota; Viridiplantae; Streptophyta; Magnoliopsida; Myrtales; Myrtaceae
Description: long non-coding RNA (EGRA_LNC000433)
Source: RNAcentral
CAGGAUUCUUUCACUGUUAGAAGUUAGCCCUCAACUAGAUUAGGAGUUGAAAUAGAAGUAUGAUUGGCAGGGUCCUUGUGUAUCUCCCCCUCUAAUCCUUGUACUGUAUUGAGCGGAAACCCCCCAACAAUUAAUUUUUUAUGACACUUUCUACAUGUUUCAUGACACUUUCUACAUGUUUGAAGUUGAAGGGGCGUUUAAUUCACUGCACUGUGAAGGAACAAUUAUUUUUAGAGAUGAUUGCUGAUGACGUUUUCUACAUGUUUGAAGUUGAAGGGCGUUUAAGACACUGCACUGUCAGUUCAUUUUG